This 221-nucleotide unclassified non-coding RNA is filed under the name soil metagenome. Its description in RNAcentral is "partial contains 5.8S ribosomal RNA, internal transcribed spacer 2, and large subunit ribosomal RNA". The record is from RNAcentral.
AACGGUCUAUACCUGCGGUACCUGCGGAAGGAUCAUUACCGAGUUUUCAACUCCCUAACCCUUCUGUGAACCUACCUAUCGUUGCUUCGGCGGACUCGCCCCAGCCCGGACGCGGACUGGACCAGCGGCCCGCCGGGGACCUCAAACUCUUGUAUUCCAGCAUCUUCUGAAUACGCCGCAAGGCAAAACAAAUGAAUCAAAACUUUUAACAACGGAUCUCU